UACGUAGGGGGCAAGCGUUGUCCGGAAUCAUUGGGCGUAAAGAGCGUGUAGGCGGCUCGAUAAGUCCGCUGUGAAAGUCCAGGGCUCAACCCUGGAAUGGCGGUGGAAACUGUCGGGCUAGAGUUCGGAAGAGGUGAGUGGAAUUCCUGGUGUAGCGGUGAAAUGCGCAGAUAUCAGGAGGAACACCAAUGGCGAAGGCAGCUCACUGGGACGAUACUGACGCUGAGACGCGAAAGCGUGGGGAGCAAACAGG
Molecule: ribosomal RNA, 253 nt
Filed under: uncultured bacterium
Lineage: Bacteria
Description: partial 16S ribosomal RNA
Rfam family: Bacterial small subunit ribosomal RNA
Source: RNAcentral